UCUUCCUACGGGGGGCAGCAGUGGGGAAUAUUGGGCAAUGGGCGCAAGCCUGACCCAGCAACGCCGCGUGAAGGAAGAAGGCCCUCGGGUUGUAAACUUCUUUUAACAGGGACGAAGAAAGAGACGGUACCUGUUGAAUAAGCCACGGCUAACUACGUGCCAGCAGCCGCGGUAAUACGUAGGUGGCAAGCGUUAUCCAGAUUUACUGGGUGUAAAGGGCGUGUAGGCGGGAGAGCAAGUCAGACGUGAAAUUUCAGGGCUCAACCCUGG
Molecule: ribosomal RNA, 270 nt
Filed under: uncultured bacterium
Lineage: Bacteria
Description: partial 16S ribosomal RNA
Rfam family: Bacterial small subunit ribosomal RNA
Source: RNAcentral